Molecule: ribosomal RNA, 271 nt
Filed under: uncultured bacterium
Lineage: Bacteria
Description: partial 16S ribosomal RNA
Rfam family: Bacterial small subunit ribosomal RNA
Source: RNAcentral
GACGAACCGUGCGAACGUUGUUCGGAAUCACUGGGCUUAAAGGGCGCGUAGGCGGGUCACCAAGUCCGGGGUGAAAUCUUUCGGCUCAACCGGAAGACUGCCUUGGAUACUGGUGGUCUCGAGGGAGGUAGGGGCAUGUGGAACUUCUGGUGGAGCGGUGAAAUGCGUUGAUAUCAGAAGGAACGCCGGUGGCGAAAGCGACGUGCUGGACCUCUACUGACGCUGAGGCGCGAAAGCCAGGGGAGCAAACGGGAUUAGAUACCCUGGUAGU